CUUUCCUAUCAGAGGCAAAAAACUGGGCAGCUCACGUACACGUUUUGUAUGUGAGGAGCUUCCACUUGUCAAACGGAAACACGCAUAUAGCCUUGUGUUCUACCGCUACGACGUCCGUCGUCACUACUCACUGCAAUAGCCUUCGCCAGGACUUUUCCUGCCCACGAAUAAGUCCGCAAAAUGAAGGUGUUCGCUACUGUAUGUGUGGCUGCCGUUUUAUUGGGUACAUUAUGCGCCGAUCCUGUAUCCUUGGAUUGCUCUGAUGAGGUGGUUGUGCCUGUUCUGGAAGCUUGUAAACAGGAAAUGACUGCGAACCCUUUAUUGAAGCAUCUGUUGCUCACAGAGGACGAACCCCUCUUUCUCGAUUCAAGCAACGCUACCCAUCAUCGUGCGUUCUGCUGCGCUACUCAGAUGUCCUCCAACUGUAUUAGAAGACACCUAGAAGUACCGUGCCCUGUCCUUGUCGCGGAGGUGGUGCGCAUGAUGAACAGAGACCUCAAGGGUAUAUUUGCAAACAAGAUAUGCGAUCCCACCCCAUGCUAAGAGCUGACAACCGCAUAUCCUGCGUCAUGAAGCCAGACACAUUUACAGGAGGGAUACCUUGAAUGCAGGAAGAAUAAACAACUUAAAAACCAACCAUGUGGUUUGAAUGUCAUUGACUACUGCACGAAUGUACUUUUUUUGUAACUUGACACUGAUGAACAAAUUAAAAUGCAGUAUGAGAGGUGGUGUACUGUUGAA
Molecule: long non-coding RNA, 741 nt
Organism: Ornithodoros turicata
Lineage: Eukaryota; Metazoa; Arthropoda; Arachnida; Ixodida; Argasidae
Exons: 4
Source: RefSeq, a predicted model, not a curated record